This 117-nucleotide microRNA precursor is filed under the name Rosa chinensis. Its description in RNAcentral is "sRNA RchiOBHm_Chr3g0491481". It matches the Rfam family "MIR164 microRNA precursor family". The record is from RNAcentral. Lineage: Eukaryota; Viridiplantae; Streptophyta; Magnoliopsida; Rosales; Rosaceae.
CAGCCUCAGUUGGAGAAGCAGGUCACGUGCAGUUAGCUACUAGUGCUUGCUCAGCUUCAUGGGAGAGAGCUAAGCUAGCAAAACCAUGCACGUGCUCUCCUUCUCCAACACAGUUUC